CUUCUUUCCUUCUAUUUUUUUUUCUACAUCAUUUUUUUCUUAUUUUUUCUUUUUCUUACCUUAUAUGAAUAAUUUUCAGAGUCCCAACCCCAUCCCUAUCCUAUUUUUUCACAGGAAUAUGAUGGGAUGGCCAAGAUGCCUAAAUGCUAGAGCUUAAAAUCUUAUUUAUAUUAUACUUUUGUUUAAUCAAAUUAUCAUUAAUACAUAUAUUUAGUUUAUUAAAUUAUGUAGAAAUAUUAUA
This 241-nucleotide long non-coding RNA is filed under the name Elaeis guineensis (African oil palm). Its description in RNAcentral is "long non-coding RNA (EGUI_LNC047985)". Lineage: Eukaryota; Viridiplantae; Streptophyta; Magnoliopsida; Arecales; Arecaceae. The record is from RNAcentral.